Molecule: long non-coding RNA, 2612 nt
Organism: Taeniopygia guttata (zebra finch)
Lineage: Eukaryota; Metazoa; Chordata; Aves; Passeriformes; Estrildidae
Source: RefSeq, a predicted model, not a curated record
GCUCAGGAUGCCAACUUGACAACAACUGACAUUCAAACCAGGAGGGACACCUUGUUUCCUGCCCUCCCCCACCAAAACACUGUAUUACAGCAGGGGCCAAAUCUGCAGUGUUUCUUCUUUGGCAGGGCUGGGAUGUGUUCUGCUGUGAGGAGGACUUGCAAGUUGGCUCCAGCCCCACAUGGCACCACUGCACCCCAAAAACUGCCUUGGUAAAACAGCAUCUGACACUACAGCUAAGAAAGAAAAAGAAGAAAAUAAAAGAAAAAAUGACAACCCACCUAUGUGUGAGCAUGUGGAAACCUCUAAUAGAGAACACGCUUCAGGCAUCAAGUUAAUCUCGGUUUAUUGCAUACAACUGAUUUAUCUUCAUUUAUAAAUGAGUGUUUUUCCAACAGCAGAUACAGACUAUUUCAAUGUUUGAACACUGUUAAAGCCACUGGGAAGAGACAUUAAAUGAGACUUUUCAAUCAGUCAUUUUAUCUUUUUCAGGUCACAUUGCGAUAGACGUUUCCAACAAGAGGGCUAAUCAGACUAAAUUCAGAAAAUACAUUUUUAUUGAUUUGAUGUUGGGGUUUUUGCUUGUUUGUUUGCUUGCUUGUUUGAAACAGUCUCUUCUCAAGCAAGUUUAGGGGUUGGUGGCUCCACAGCUAAAGACUUACAGUUGCACAGAUCCCAAAGCAGAGAAGAGAAACUGCCUCCAAUGCUAUGCCUAAAAUGACUAAUGAAACAGAGUCAGGUCUCAGUUGGAGCCACAAAGCAUUCCACAAAACAAAUUGUUACAAUAGGCCACUAGACAAAUACCUAUUAGUCUGGUCCUACAGAAUAUAUGAAUUCACAGAAACUCUCCCAAUAAAAUAUAUUUCCAUUGUGAAUUAGUGCAUUAAGUUCUAUACCUCAGAAUACUUUUACAUAAACCUGCAAUUAAAACAUGUAUUAUUUGAUUUAACCGGAAAAGAAAAAGUAUUUGAUUUUUAAUCUCAGAGUUAAAUCUGCAGACUUAAUCUCAGAGGACUGUGCACAGAAUAAAAUUCCUUGGUAACAGAAGAUUGUCCAAAAGCACUCUUAGAAAUCCCCCUGAGAAAUAUAGUUAAAAUUUCUAGAGAGAAGCCCAAGUUAUCUAAAGGACUUGAAAAGCCAAGCAACCCUGCUGGAGCAAUGUUAGAGCACAUCUUAUUGAAUAGAAAACAUUUCUCUGCACGUUAAGUUGUAUUGCCUUUGGCAGAAACUCUUCAGCUGCAAAUUUGUCCAAGGAAUGACAUACAGUACACAUCAGAGGAGUAAUGAAGGAAAGAGGCUUAGAUGGGCACUUUGCAGCUGACGGGGAGCUGUUAUUGAGCCUUGUCUGCUGCAUUUAGCAAAGGGGGAAAAAAAACCCAACCGAAAUAGAGGGACCAUCUUUGUGUGUCCCCAGCUCUUACUACCAUCUCUUUAAAAUAAAGAAUUAAAUAAAUAGUUUUAAAAAUAGCCAUCUGACAAGCAAAGCCUAGCCAGAGGGUCAAAAAUGAAGAUCCUGGGAAAGGUCAAGUUUAAUCUCUACCCACGAUGCCCUAGUGCAUCCCUCACAACAGCUGACUAACAAAAGGGGCUCAGCACUGUGACUGACAGAAUUCUUAAUUGUAUCCACUCAUUCAUGACAAUUUGAUUAAAAUAUUACGCCAAAGUCUCACCCCCUGUUUGCUUCGAUCCUCCAAAUCUAAUUUUGAAUUUUCAGAAAGGAGAUUACCUCCACAAGCAUGACUGGGAUGCUAUUAACUUCUACUUAAUCUUUAUUACUGAUGUGAAUUUAACAUAUGUAUGGCUUCGUCUCGCUCCUGUUGUUUUCUCUCUAAAGUAACGUCUAGGCAAUAUACAAGCGGCGGACAUUAAUUUUCACUUUGAUAUUCUGUCAUACCAAAGCUCAUACUUUCAUAUGAAAAUUUAAAGAUGUACUGUCUUAAUACCAUGGCACAAUUAGACUGCAUUAAAAAAAAAAAAAACAACAAACCAGACACGGACUUGCUUCCUCUUGUCCCCACCAAAGAAAAGAACAAAGCCUGGCUGAACAGAUGUCAAAGUAUUAUAACUUUUCACUGUUAUCUCCAGCUAUAUCCCCUUCAUAAAAGGAGUUGUUCCAAGGAUUGACAAGAACUGGUAAAUUCUACUUAAUGCAAAUAAUGCAGUUAUGAAGUAGUCAAGGAAGCAGUCAAAAUUUCUAACCAAUUUGGAUUAUUCUCAAAUUUAUGAAACUAGUAAUUGAAUAUGGCCAUUGUUACCUGUGUCCCCAUUUCACAAUAUAUUUGAAUAAAAUAUAUGAUCUAAUCUUCAAGAUUUUUACUCUACUCUCACACUCCUUUUCUCCCCACAAGUAACACAACAAAUUGACACAACCAGCUGCAAUUAUGUUUAUAGGAAUAUUCACAAACCUAUUGAACAUGAAACGUUUCUAAUAAAUAUUCUGCUCUGGAAAAGAAUUCCACCAAAAAUGUUAUUUUAUUUUCUUACCUUUCCCCCAGAGGAUUAGAAAAAUAUAUUUUGGGUAUCUUCUUUUGCAAAAUAUUUUUCUGUCAUUUAUAUCCGUGUCUACUUACUGUUAUUGUAAAAAGAGAAACAAUAAAUUAAUCUUCCUAAAUUAA